GACGGGGGAUGCAAGCGUUAUCCGGAAUCACUGGGCGUAAAGCGUGUGUAGGCGGUGAUACAAGUCACUGGUGCAAAACUCUGGCUUAACCAGAGGAAAGCCAGUGAUACUGCAUGGCUAGAAUGGGGGAGAGGUAGAAAGAAUUCCAUAAGUAGCGGUGAAAUGCGUAGAUACAGGAAAGAACACCGGUGGCGAAAGCAUUCUACUGGGACUAAACUGACGCUGAGGGAAGAAAGCUUGGGGAGCGAAUGGG
This 253-nucleotide ribosomal RNA is filed under the name uncultured bacterium. Its description in RNAcentral is "partial 16S ribosomal RNA". It matches the Rfam family "Bacterial small subunit ribosomal RNA", at positions 524 to 776 of the family's 1533-position model. The record is from RNAcentral.